RNAcentral lists this long non-coding RNA (392 nucleotides) under Setaria viridis. RNAcentral's name for it is "long non-coding RNA (SVIR_LNC003836)". The record is from RNAcentral. Lineage: Eukaryota; Viridiplantae; Streptophyta; Magnoliopsida; Poales; Poaceae.
CCACAUGAUGUUUCAAUUCAAGGCAUGGAUCGAUCCAUCAGACCACUGCUGCUCGUCGCAACGGGGGAGCUAUCCAGCCACCGGAUCAAUGCAACGGAGAUUAAGUCUGACGACGAAGAGGUAAAGAGUACCUUGCAGCCAUGCUCAUGCUAUUAAUCCGAUCAUGGGUUUCAGGUUCUCAGCAGGGACGAAGAGCUUCCAUCACGCACGCCCAUGCUGUGGCAGAGUCUACGAGAUAUCAGAUAGGCCGGCGUCGUCUCCAGGAUCGCUGUGCAGCUUACGGAUAACCGCGUCGUAAUUCGCUUUCACCGAUCGAUCGGUGCGGAUCGUUCCUGAUGAUCAUCCGGUCGCUUCGGCCGACCACGCUCUCUUCAUCCAUCCACAGAUCAUAC